Molecule: long non-coding RNA, 455 nt
Organism: Paramormyrops kingsleyae
Lineage: Eukaryota; Metazoa; Chordata; Actinopteri; Osteoglossiformes; Mormyridae
Source: RefSeq, a predicted model, not a curated record
UUGAGGAAUUGGUUCGCCAGGCGGUCCGUCUAGACAACACGGUGAGGGAUCGCCGGCGCCGAAGGCAAGCAGAGAACACUAGAGCUUCGGCUCCGCCCAGCGACACUGCUGAACCCAUGCAGUUGGGCCGGUCUCCGCUGACUCCAUCAGAGAGACGCCGGGGAACGCAAGGGGGGCUCUGUUUAUACUGCGGUGGAACAGGUCAUUCCAUCUCCGCUUGCCCCAUUCGACCCCAACAUGAGGAUGUCUCUGUGCCGUGGUGCCACGGGUAACUUCAUAGACAUCAAACUAGCUCACCGGUUGCACUUACCUCUCCGGAGACUGGCUUAUCCCAUUACAGUCCAGGGGGUGACGGGAGAAAGAAUGCAGGAGGGAACCAUCCAUCAUCGGACACACCCUUUGGUGAUGCAGAGACUGUGACUGCGCCAUCGAUCUUCUGGAAGGCGCAACUCUUC